GGUUAAGCGACUAAGCGUACACGGUGGAUGCCCUGGCAGUCAGAGGCGAUGAAGGACGUGCUAAUCUGCGAUAAGCGUCGGUAAGGUGAUAUGAACCGUUAUAACCGGCGAUUUCCGAAUGGGGAAACCCAGUGUGUUUCGACACACUAUCAUUAACUGAAUCCAUAGGUUAAUGAGGCGAACCGGGGGAACUGAAACAUCUAAGUACCCCGAGGAAAAGAAAUCAACCGAGAUUCCCCCAGUAGCGGCGAGCGAACGGGGAGGAGCCCAGAGUCUGAAUCAGUGUGUGUGUUAGUGGAAGCGUCUGGAAAGGCGCGCGAUACAGGGUGACAGCCCCGUACACAAAAAUGCACAUAUUGUGAGCUCGAUGAGUAGGGCGGGACACGUGGUAUCCUGUCUGAAUAUGGGGGGACCAUCCUCCAAGGCUAAAUACUCCUGACUGACCGAUAGUGAACCAGUACCGUGAGGGAAAGGCGAAAAGAACCCCGGCGAGGGGAGUGAAAAAGAACCUGAAACCGUGUACGUACAAGCAGUGGGAGCACGCUUAGGCGUGUGACUGCGUACCUUUUGUAUAAUGGGUCAGCGACUUAUAUUCUGUAGCAAGGUUAACCGAAUAGGGGAGCCGAAGGGAAACCGAGUCUUAACUGGGCGUUAAGUUGCAGGGUAUAGACCCGAAACCCGGUGAUCUAGCCAUGGGCAGGUUGAAGGUUGGGUAACACUAACUGGAGGACCGAACCGACUAAUGUUGAAAAAUUAGCGGAUGACUUGUGGCUGGGGGUGAAAGGCCAAUCAAACCGGGAGAUAGCUGGUUCUCCCCGAAAGCUAUUUAGGUAGCGCCUCGUGAAUUCAUCUCCGGGGGUAGAGCACUGUUUCGGCAAGGGGGUCAUCCCGACUUACCAACCCGAUGCAAACUGCGAAUACCGGAGAAUGUUAUCACGGGAGACACACGGCGGGUGCUAACGUCCGUCGUGAAGAGGGAAACAACCCAGACCGCCAGCUAAGGUCCCAAAGUCAUGGUUAAGUGGGAAACGAUGUGGGAAGGCCCAGACAGCCAGGAUGUUGGCUUAGAAGCAGCCAUCAUUUAAAGAAAGCGUAAUAGCUCACUGGUCGAGUCGGCCUGCGCGGAAGAUGUAACGGGGCUAAACCAUGCACCGAAGCUGCGGCAGCGACGCUUAUGCGUUGUUGGGUAGGGGAGCGUUCUGUAAGCCUGUGAAGGUGUGCUGUGAGGCAUGCUGGAGGUAUCAGAAGUGCGAAUGCUGACAUAAGUAACGAUAAAGCGGGUGAAAAGCCCGCUCGCCGGAAGACCAAGGGUUCCUGUCCAACGUUAAUCGGGGCAGGGUGAGUCGACCCCUAAGGCGAGGCCGAAAGGCGUAGUCGAUGGGAAACAGGUUAAUAUUCCUGUACUUGGUGUUACUGCGAAGGGGGGACGGAGAAGGCUAUGUUGGCCGGGCGACGGUUGUCCCGGUUUAAGCGUGUAGGCUGGUUUUCCAGGCAAAUCCGGAAAAUCAAGGCUGAGGCGUGAUGACGAGGCACUACGGUGCUGAAGCAACAAAUGCCCUGCUUCCAGGAAAAGCCUCUAAGCAUCAGGUAACAUCAAAUCGUACCCCAAACCGACACAGGUGGUCAGGUAGAGAAUACCAAGGCGCUUGAGAGAACUCGGGUGAAGGAACUAGGCAAAAUGGUGCCGUAACUUCGGGAGAAGGCACGCUGAUAUGUAGGUGAAGUCCCUUGCGGAUGGAGCUGAAAUCAGUCGAAGAUACCAGCUGGCUGCAACUGUUUAUUAAAAACACAGCACUGUGCAAACACGAAAGUGGACGUAUACGGUGUGACGCCUGCCCGGUGCCGGAAGGUUAAUUGAUGGGGUCAGCGCAAGCGAAGCUCUUGAUCGAAGCCCCGGUAAACGGCGGCCGUAACUAUAACGGUCCUAAGGUAGCGAAAUUCCUUGUCGGGUAAGUUCCGACCUGCACGAAUGGCGUAAUGAUGGCCAGGCUGUCUCCACCCGAGACUCAGUGAAAUUGAACUCGCUGUGAAGAUGCAGUGUACCCGCGGCAAGACGGAAAGACCCCGUGAACCUUUACUAUAGCUUGACACUGAACAUUGAGCCUUGAUGUGUAGGAUAGGUGGGAGGCUUUGAAGUGUGGACGCCAGUCUGCAUGGAGCCGACCUUGAAAUACCACCCUUUAAUGUUUGAUGUUCUAACGUGGACCCGUGAUCCGGGUUGCGGACAGUGUCUGGUGGGUAGUUUGACUGGGGCGGUCUCCUCCUAAAGAGUAACGGAGGAGCACGAAGGUUGGCUAAUCCUGGUCGGACAUCAGGAGGUUAGUGCAAUGGCAUAAGCCAGCUUGACUGCGAGCGUGACGGCGCGAGCAGGUGCGAAAGCAGGUCAUAGUGAUCCGGUGGUUCUGAAUGGAAGGGCCAUCGCUCAACGGAUAAAAGGUACUCCGGGGAUAACAGGCUGAUACCGCCCAAGAGUUCAUAUCGACGGCGGUGUUUGGCACCUCGAUGUCGGCUCAUCACAUCCUGGGGCUGAAGUAGGUCCCAAGGGUAUGGCUGUUCGCCAUUUAAAGUGGUACGCGAGCUGGGUUUAGAACGUCGUGAGACAGUUCGGUCCCUAUCUGCCGUGGGCGCUGGAGAACUGAGGGGGGCUGCUCCUAGUACGAGAGGACCGGAGUGGACGCAUCACUGGUGUUCGGGUUGUCAUGCCAAUGGCACUGCCCGGUAGCUAAAUGCGGAAGAGAUAAGUGCUGAAAGCAUCUAAGCACGAAACUUGCCCCGAGAUGAGUUCUCCCUGACUCCUUGAGAGUCCUGAAGGAACGUUGAAGACGACGACGUUGAUAGGCCGGGUGUGUAAGCGCAGCGAUGCGUUGAGCUAACCGGUACUAAUGAACCGUGAGGCUUAACCUU
RNAcentral lists this ribosomal RNA (2904 nucleotides) under Escherichia coli O125ac:K+:H10. Its description in RNAcentral is "23S ribosomal RNA". It matches the Rfam family "Bacterial large subunit ribosomal RNA". The record is from RNAcentral. Lineage: Bacteria; Pseudomonadati; Pseudomonadota; Gammaproteobacteria; Enterobacterales; Enterobacteriaceae.